RNAcentral lists this ribosomal RNA (734 nucleotides) under uncultured Chloroflexota bacterium. RNAcentral describes it as "bacterial SSU rRNA". It matches the Rfam family "Bacterial small subunit ribosomal RNA", at positions 20 to 775 of the family's 1533-position model. Lineage: Bacteria; Bacillati; Chloroflexota. The record is from RNAcentral.
UGGCUCAGGACUAACGCUGGCGGUAUGCCUUAGACAUGCAAGUCGAACGAGUUUCCGGGCUUGCUCGGAAACUAGUGGCGAACGGCUGAGUAACGCGUAGGUGACCUACCCCGUAGUGUGGAAUAACUGCCCGAAAGGGUAGCUAAUACCGCAUGUUGAGCCGACAUCAAUGUCGUCUCCAAAGCAGAAAUGCGCUAUGGGCGGGGCCUGCGUUCGAUUAGCUAGUUGGUGGGGUAAUGGCUCACCAAGGCGACGAUCGAUAGGUGGUCUGAGAGGACGAUCACCCAGACUGGGACUGAGACACGGCCCAGACUCCUACGGGAGGCAGCAGUCGGGAAUUUUGCGCAAUGGGGGAAACCCUGACGCAGCAAUACCGCGUGUGGGAUGAAGGCCUUCGGGUCGUAAACCACUUUUUUCGGGGACGAUAAUGACGGUACCCGAAGAAUAAGCCACGGCUAACUACGUGCCAGCAGCCGCGGUAAUACGUAGGUGGCAAGCGUUGUCCGGAUUUACUGGGCGUAAAGCGCGCGCAGGCGGUGAAUGAAGUCGAAAGUGAAAGCCCCGGGCUCAACUCGGGAACUGCUUUCGAAACCAGUUCACUUGAAGGCGGAAGAGGGAAGUGGAAUUCCGAGUGUAGUGGUGGAAUGCGUAGAUAUUCGGAAGAACACCAGAGGCGAAGGCGACUUCCUGGUCCGAUCUUGACGCUGAGGCGCGAAAGCUAGGGGAGCAAACGG